GUCAAGGAUGACUUUUAAUUUUCCAGUUUAGGUUUACUCUCUGACACAGGGAAUUCCUUGUUUUCGACCAGAUAACCACGAGGUGGGGGUGGGGGUGGGAGCGCUGGCCUUCCUCGGUGCGAACGCGGCCACCGCAUCUGUUGUAACGAAUAUUCCCCGCAGCCUUUGUUCACAACGGCGAAGUCCAAAGCAUUUAAAGUGAGGAGGAAGCACUGCCCGGUGUGGGGGCGAGCUUUCGUUUGAGUCUCUACAAUCAGCGUCCCGGUUUCCGUGUCCCUCACGACUUCGCGAAAGUAGGUGAAUGUGAGGCCCGAGCCCACGCUGUGAUUGCAGGUUCACUAGCCGGGCAAGCAAAAAAGUUCUCGUCUCCCUCUGGAAGCAGGCACACGCCUUCCAAGCCAGACCACGUGUCGCAGGUACAACGUAUUUUGGCUCUUCC
This 439-nucleotide long non-coding RNA is filed under the name Equus caballus (horse). RNAcentral's name for it is "lncRNA (ENSECAG00000045614.1)". The record is from RNAcentral. Lineage: Eukaryota; Metazoa; Chordata; Mammalia; Perissodactyla; Equidae.